GAAAUGCGAUAAGUAAUGUGAAUUGCAGAAUUCAGUGAAUCAUCGAAUCUUUGAACGCUCAUUGCGCCCGCCAGUAUUCUGGCGGGCAUGCCUGUCCGAGCGUCAUUUCAACCAUCAAGCCCCCGGGCUUGUGUUGGGGACCUGCGGCUGCCCGCAGGCCCUGAAAACCAGUGGCGGGCUCGCUGUCACACCGAGCGUAGUAGCAAUCACCUCGCUCAGGGCGUGCUGCGGGUUCCGGCCGUUAAACAGCCUUACAAAACCCAAGGUUGACCUCGGAUCAGGUAGGAAGACCCGCUGAACUUAAGC
This 306-nucleotide unclassified non-coding RNA is filed under the name plant metagenome. Its description in RNAcentral is "partial contains 5.8S ribosomal RNA, internal transcribed spacer 2, and large subunit ribosomal RNA". The stretch from base 1 to 105 matches the Rfam family "5.8S ribosomal RNA", at positions 50 to 154 of the family's 154-position model. The record is from RNAcentral.